AACAGGAUUAGAUACCCUGGUAGUCCACGCCGUAAACGAUGUCGACUUGGAGGUUGUGCCCUUGAGGCGUGGCUUCCGGAGCUAACGCGUUAAGUCGACCGCCUGGGGAGUACGGCCGCAAGGUUAAAACUCAAAUGAAUUGACGGGGGCCCGCACAAGCGGUGGAGCAUGUGGUUUAAUUCGAUGCAACGCGAAGAACCUUACCUACUCUUGACAUCCAGAGAACUUUCCAGAGAUGGAUUGGUGCCUUCGGGAACUCUGAGACAGGUGCUGCAUGGCUGUCGUCAGCUCGUGUUGUGAAAUGUUGGGUUAAGUCCCGCAACGAGCGCAACCCUUAUCCUUUGUUGCCAGCGAUUCGGUCGGGAACUCAAAGGAGACUGCCAGUGAUAAACUGGAGGAAGGUGGGGAUGACGUCAAGUCAUCAUGGCCCUUACGAGUAGGGCUACACACGUGCUACAAUGGCAUAUACAAAGAGAAGCGACCUCGCGAGAGCAAGCGGACCUCAUAAAGUAUGUCGUAGUCCGGAUUGGAGUCUGCAACUCGACUCCAUGAAGUCGGAAUCGCUAGUAAUCGUGGAUCAGAAUGCCACGGUGAAUACGUUCCCGGGCCUUGUACACACCGCCCGUCACACCAUGGGAGUGGGUUGCAAAAGAAGUAGGUAGCUUAACCUUCGGGAGGGCGCUUACCACUUUGUGACUCAUGACUGGGGUGAAGUCGUAACAAGGUAACC
Molecule: ribosomal RNA, 730 nt
Filed under: uncultured bacterium
Lineage: Bacteria
Description: bacterial SSU rRNA
Rfam family: Bacterial small subunit ribosomal RNA
Source: RNAcentral